RNAcentral lists this ribosomal RNA (377 nucleotides) under uncultured Gammaproteobacteria bacterium. Its description in RNAcentral is "bacterial SSU rRNA". It matches the Rfam family "Bacterial small subunit ribosomal RNA", at positions 521 to 896 of the family's 1533-position model. Lineage: Bacteria; Pseudomonadati; Pseudomonadota; Gammaproteobacteria. The record is from RNAcentral.
UAAUACGGAGGGUGCGAGCGUUAAUCGGAAUUACUGGGCGUAAAGCGUGCGUAGGUGGCUUGGUAAGUCGGAUGUGAAAGCCCUGGGCUCAACCUGGGAACUGCAUUCGAUACUGCCAGGCUAGAGUAUGGUAGAGGGAAGUGGAAUUUCCGGUGUAGCGGUGAAAUGCGUAGAUAUCGGAAGGAACACCAGUGGCGAAGGCGGCUUCCUGGACCAAUACUGACACUGAGGUACGAAAGCGUGGGGAGCAAACAGGAUUAGAUACCCUGGUAGUCCACGCCCUAAACGAUGUCAACUAGCCGUUGGAGGAAUUUAAUCCUUUAGUGGCGCAGCUAACGCGUUAAGUUGACCGCCUGGGGAGUACGGUCGCAAGAUUA